MicroRNA precursor from Oreochromis aureus, 64 nucleotides. NCBI's taxonomy places the organism in Eukaryota, Metazoa, Chordata, Actinopteri, Cichliformes, Cichlidae. The record is from Ensembl.
ACGCGUGUGUGUCCGGUUUGUGUUUACGUGCACUACAGUCUACAGACUUUGCAUGCACGCUUCC